UUUUAUUAUAGGAGCGGCUUGACUAUGGCCCUUGGUGGUAACAGCUGAGGAGAACCAGAUGAGGUGCCCACUACUUAUUGGGAGUGGCUCUGUUUGGUGCAGCCCUAUGCUGUGGAUUAGUGUUCAUGCUAUGGUUGGUUUGCAAACUCAGAGCUCAACAAAAACGUGACAAGGUCGUUGUCACUCAAGCACUUGUGGCCAUUGAACAAGGGGCCUCCCCUAGAAUUUGGUUAUCUAUGCUCAAGAAUUAGUCGGUAUCUGAGUUCUCUGCUCUUACACCCUAUGGAUCUGUGGAUCCAUUACACUGGGAUGAGAGAGACUCAAUGAUUCUUUGAUCAGCCCUUCUACAUCGCUGAGGUUUCCUCAUUGCAUGCGAUAGGGUGAUCAUGAUUUCCCCACUAACUCAUUUUCUGGCUGGCCUCUUUUAUAGAGCUCGCCCUAGGUCAUUUAACAGUUACUGUCACACAGCACUGUGGUAUCCAGAGAUGGGCAACUUUCCUCAUGCACAGACCAAUCUAAGACACGGGGCCCGGUGGCGAUAGGGUUACCCUUCGACGGAUAAGGCUGUGACAUAGAGGAACAACCUAAGACAGGAGCCACAGCAGAUGGACGUAACUGCAGGGACCUAGACCAGCCUAGACAAUAAUUUAUUGUUAUUAAUAAAACAAUAAGGGGGAGAUGUAGAGGGCCGCAAUAACAUUCGCCACCACAAGAUGGCGCUGGCUUCCACUACGCCCCCACGUGGAAAGCCGGGAUAGCUUUUGCCAUUACAAGAUGGCGCUGUCCUCCGCCACGCCAGCCGACUUCCUUUCAGGAAGUUAACUGUGUGGGCAUGUGCAAGAGUGCCUUCGUGCCAGGUCUUUGCCCACUCUGGGGCGUGCCUAAUGAGAUCAUGGGUAAGCGACCAAUCAGGUGUGGAUGCGCUGCACUAGGGUGUAUAUAAUCCGCGCCAUGCCGGCGCCCCGGGGCCCCUCUCUUUAAGAUUCAAUAAACAUUUUGGCUACGGAA
Molecule: long non-coding RNA, 1008 nt
Filed under: Rattus norvegicus (Norway rat)
Lineage: Eukaryota; Metazoa; Chordata; Mammalia; Rodentia; Muridae
Description: long non-coding RNA NONRATT014867
Source: RNAcentral